RNAcentral lists this ribosomal RNA (516 nucleotides) under Salmonella enterica. RNAcentral's name for it is "bacterial SSU rRNA". Lineage: Bacteria; Pseudomonadati; Pseudomonadota; Gammaproteobacteria; Enterobacterales; Enterobacteriaceae. The record is from RNAcentral.
UGGGGAGCAAACAGGAUUAGAUACCCUGGUAGUCCACGCCGUAAACGAUGUCUACUUGGAGGUUGUGCCCUUGAGGCGUGGCUUCCGGAGCUAACGCGUUAAGUAGACCGCCUGGGGAGUACGGCCGCAAGGUUAAAACUCAAAUGAAUUGACGGGGGCCCGCACAAGCGGUGGAGCAUGUGGUUUAAUUCGAUGCAACGCGAAGAACCUUACCUGGUCUUGACAUCCACAGAACUUUCCAGAGAUGGAYUGGUGCCUUCGGGAACUGUGAGACAGGUGCUGCAUGGCUGUCGUCAGCUCGUGUUGUGAAAUGUUGGGUUAAGUCCCGCAACGAGCGCAACCCUUAUCCUUUGUUGCCAGCGAUUAGGUCGGGAACUCAAAGGAGACUGCCAGUGAUAAACUGGAGGAAGGUGGGGAUGACGUCAAGUCAUCAUGGCCCUUACGACCAGGGCUACACACGUGCUACAAUGGCGCAUACAAAGAGAAGCGACCUCGCGAGAGCAAGCGGACCUCAUA